AUUUUUUCCAUAAGACAAGAUUCACAAGUACCUAAUGAUUCAUAAUCAUAAGGAUCAAAGAACUCUUCUUUCUAUAACUUGUUAAUCCUUGUCUCACUUAUAUGACCAAGUCGACAAUACCAAAGUAAAGUAUUAUUCAACUCUUCUCUCUUUCGCUUUUUACUUUCAUUAAUAUGGAAAACAUUAUCAUUAGAUAGAAUUAGAAGACCAUAAUUAAUAACGCCAUGACAGAUAAUUUCAUUAGAAAAAAAAAUUGAGCAACUAUUGCUCUUUCCAUUUAUUUCAUAACCUCGUUGCAAUGGUAACGAUACAGAAAUAAUAUUUCUAAUGAUCUUACGCAUAUAAUAAUAGUUUUCUAGCUCUAAGAUCUUUUCAGAAGGUAACUUUAACAUAUAUGUCCCUACAGCCUCUGCUUGGAUUGACUCUAAUGUUCUGCAGCCCCUGUAACGACUUGCAGAUAUGAGAACCACAGGCAGUAUCCAAUACCCAAGAGUCUGAAUUGGAAGAACUUAAUGACAAAAUUGUAUGUAUCUCAUACAUACCUUUUGCUGCAUCGCUUGCACCUGCCUUUAUAGUUGCA
RNAcentral lists this long non-coding RNA (580 nucleotides) under Elaeis guineensis (African oil palm). Its description in RNAcentral is "long non-coding RNA (EGUI_LNC062346)". The record is from RNAcentral. Lineage: Eukaryota; Viridiplantae; Streptophyta; Magnoliopsida; Arecales; Arecaceae.